RNAcentral lists this ribosomal RNA (253 nucleotides) under uncultured bacterium. RNAcentral describes it as "partial 16S ribosomal RNA". It matches the Rfam family "Bacterial small subunit ribosomal RNA", at positions 524 to 776 of the family's 1533-position model. The record is from RNAcentral.
GACGAACCGUGCGAACGUUGUUCGGAAUCACUGGGCUUAAAGGGCGCGUAGGCGGGUGUGCAAGUCUGUGGUGAAAGCCUCCAGCUUAACUGGAGAAGUGCCAUGGAUACUGCACAUCUUGAGGAGGGUAGGGGCAUCUGGAACGGUCGGUGGAGCGGUGAAAUGCGUUGAUAUCGACCGGAACUCCGGUGGCGAAGGCGGCUCUCUGGGACGGUACUGACGCUGAGACGCGAAAGCGUGGGGAGCGAACAGG